GGGAGCAGGCAGGUCCUGUCAUGGGGUGUUAAGCCUGCUUGGGGCCAGUCCAUGAGCCAGGCUGUCAGCGUGACCCAGUGCCAGUGUUUUGGGGGCAGUGUUAAAGCAUCAGUGAGCAGCAACCCGGCGGGGGCAAAGGGAGCGCGGUAGCGGGAUCGGGCGGGACGGACCUGCUGCUGCAGCCCGUGACACCUCAAUGAUGCAAUGGUUUUAUGCCAUCCUCAGAUCUUCUGUGUUUCAGGAUGAGGCACUAGAAUGCCUUUCUCCAUAUAAUUUGAAGCAGCCCUUGGGCUAACUCUGCCCUACCCAGAACUCCUUGCAGAAUGCCUGUGAUCUGCGUGUGCCCGUAGUCUUAUGCCUGUGUCAGUAAAAAUCAGGUGGGCUAUCUAAAUUAUACUUAAUUUAUAAAUGUUUUGGAAAUUUCUUCAGGCUUUUACUGUAUACGUAUGAUUUCAGUUGCAUGU
Long non-coding RNA from Gymnogyps californianus (California condor), 464 nucleotides. RefSeq lists it as uncharacterized. Lineage: Eukaryota; Metazoa; Chordata; Aves; Accipitriformes; Cathartidae. The transcript is spliced from 3 exons. The record is from RefSeq and is a predicted model, not a curated record.